GACGAACGCUGGCGGCGUGCUUAACACAUGCCAGUCGAACGGGAUUUAGUAAACAGAAGCCUCGGUGGAAGAUUACUAAUGAGAGUGGCGAACGGGUGAGUAACGCGUGAGCAACCUGCCUAUGACAGUGGGAUAGCCUCGGGAAGCCGGGAUUAAUACCGCAUAAAAUCGUAGAAACACAUGUUUUAACGGUCAAAGAUUUAUCGGUCAUAGAUGGGCUCGCGUCUGAUUAGCUAGUUGGUGAGAUAACAGCCCACCAAGGCGACGAUCAGUAGCCGGUCUGAGAGGAUGAACGGCCACAUUGGAACUGAGACACGGUCCAAACUCCUACGGGAGGCAGCAGUGGGGAAUAUUGCACAAUGGGGGAAACCCUGAUGCAGCGACGCCGCGUGAACGAAGAAGGUAUUCGUAUCGUAAAGUUCUGUCCUAUGGGAAGAUAAUGACAGUACCAUAGAAGAAAGCUCCGGCUAAAUACGUG
RNAcentral lists this ribosomal RNA (478 nucleotides) under uncultured bacterium. RNAcentral describes it as "partial 16S ribosomal RNA". It matches the Rfam family "Bacterial small subunit ribosomal RNA", at positions 28 to 507 of the family's 1533-position model. The record is from RNAcentral.